This 470-nucleotide ribosomal RNA is filed under the name uncultured Anaerolineaceae bacterium. RNAcentral's name for it is "bacterial SSU rRNA". It matches the Rfam family "Bacterial small subunit ribosomal RNA", at positions 897 to 1382 of the family's 1533-position model. The record is from RNAcentral. Lineage: Bacteria; Bacillati; Chloroflexota; Anaerolineae; Anaerolineales; Anaerolineaceae.
AAACUCAAAGGAAUUGACGGGGACCCGCACAAGCAGCGGAGCGUGUGGUUUAAUUCGUUGCUACACGAAGAACCUUACCUGGGUUUGACAUAUAGGUUGUAGGGAACUGAAAGGGACCGACCCUUCGGGGAGCCUAUACAGGUGUUGCAUGGCUGUCGUCAGCUCGUGUCGUGAGAUGUUCGGUUAAGUCCGCUAACGAGCGCAACCCUCGUCGUAUGUUAUAUGUGUCAUACGAGACUGCCGGUAAAAGCCGGAGGAAGGUGAGGAUGAUGUCAAGUCAGCAUGACCUUUAUAUCCAGGGCUACACACACGCUACAAUGGUCUGUACAAUGGGUAGCCAAGCCGCGAGGCGGAGCCAAUCCUGAAAGCAGGCCUCAGUUCAGAUUGCAGUCUGCAACUCGACUGCAUGAAGCCGGAGUUGCUAGUAACCGCAGGUCAGCAAUACUGCGGUGAAUACGCUCCCGGGUCUU